GAUGAACGCUGGCGGCGUGCCUAACACAUGCAAGUCGAGCGAAGCGCUUAAAUUAGAUUUCUUCGGAAUGACGAUUUUUGUGACUGGGCGGCGGACGGGUGAGUAACGCGUGGGUAACCUGCCUCAUACAGGGGGAUAACAGUUAGAAAUGACUGCUAAUACCGCAUAAGACCCCAGCUUCGCAUGAAGCGGUGGUAAAAACUCCGGUGGUAUGAGAUGGACCCGCGUCUGAUUAGCUAGUUGGUAAGGUAACGGCUUACCAAGGCGACGAUCAGUAGCCGACCUGAGAGGGUGACCGGCCACAUUGGGACUGAGACACGGCCCAGACUCCUACGGGAGGCAGCAGUGGGGAAUAUUGCACAAUGGGGGAAACCCUGAUGCAGCGACGCCGCGUGAAGGAUGAAGUAUUUCGGUAUGUAAACUUCUAUCAGCAGGGAAGAAAGUGACGGUACCUGACUAAGAAGCCCCGGCUAACUACGUG
Molecule: ribosomal RNA, 481 nt
Filed under: uncultured bacterium
Lineage: Bacteria
Description: partial 16S ribosomal RNA
Rfam family: Bacterial small subunit ribosomal RNA
Source: RNAcentral